RNAcentral lists this ribosomal RNA (301 nucleotides) under uncultured bacterium. RNAcentral describes it as "partial 16S ribosomal RNA". It matches the Rfam family "Bacterial small subunit ribosomal RNA", at positions 509 to 807 of the family's 1533-position model. The record is from RNAcentral.
CAGCCGCCGCGGUAAUACGGAGGGGGCUAGCGUUGUUCGGAAUUACUGGGCGUAAAGCGUACGUAGGCGGCUUUGUAAGUUAGAGGUGAAAGCCUGGUGCUCAACACCAGAACUGCCUUUAAGACUGCAUCGCUUGAACGUCGGAGAGGUGAGUGGAAUUCCGAGUGUAGAGGUGAAAUUCGUAGAUAUUCGGAAGAACACCAGUGGCGAAGGCGGCUUACUGGCUCAUUCUAGACGCUGAGGUGCGAAAGCGUGGGGAGCAAACAGGAUUAGAUACCCCAGUAGUCCCUGUCUCUUAUAC